Molecule: small nuclear RNA, 138 nt
Organism: Dasypus novemcinctus (nine-banded armadillo)
Lineage: Eukaryota; Metazoa; Chordata; Mammalia; Cingulata; Dasypodidae
Gene: U4
Rfam family: U4 spliceosomal RNA
About the family: U4 small nuclear RNA (U4 snRNA) is a component of the major U2-dependent spliceosome. The structure of U4 snRNA from yeast and human has been reported.
Source: Ensembl
AGCUUGGUGCAGUGGCAGUGUCGUAGCCAACGAGGUUCAUCCGAGGUGCGGUUAUUGCUAAUUGAAAACUUUUCCCAAUACCCCGCCAUGACGACUUGAAUUAGUUUCCCGUUGCUACUUUAACAAAUUGCCACAAAU